GUGGGUGCCAGACAACAUGGAGUAUUGUGUGGUGAGAAGAGCUCUAACCUUAGAAACUCUCUCCUCUAGAAUCUCCAGAAAGGAAAACGGUCCCACCAGUACCUUGGUUUUUAACCCAGGAAAACAUCCAACCAACAGAGUGGUAAGAAAGUUUGACCAAUGGGAAGUAGUAGGUGGUUCUAUGAGGGAGUGAAAAUGUAUCUUUAUCUUGAGAGAGAAUAAUGAGGCGGAGAACCCGGGGAAGAGAAGGAAGAAAACUGUGAAUAAAACCAGGAUAUUGGAACCAUAUCUUGUGCUGAAGAAAAAUCAACCAGGAGUCAGACCAGAGGAUUUUCAUAGUUUUCUGACAUAAAUUCCAUUUAAAGCUAUGCUUAUCUAAGCUUAUGCUUUGGUGAAAGAGUUGAUAAUGUUGACUGGCAUACACAGAAUAUUUAAAAAGAGCAAUAAUGAACUAUUACUCAAUUACUUCUUAGACACAUGGCAGUUAUACCAUUUCAGCAGUGUAUGGUUAUAUUACAAAACAGAAGAUUUAUAUAUUGAAAAUAUGUAAUAUACUUGCACUUUGGUUUUGGUUGUGAUUAUAAACUCAUAUUUUAGUUCCUGGAGAAAAACCUGAAUAAAAAUGUUUUUAUUUACAUUAUACCAACAGACCCAAUUUUCGUAAAACAGGAUUAUCAUAGUAUUUGAUCACAAAUCAAAGCAAUUAGUAUAGUAUAUAUGGUGGUAAAGUAGUAUAAUAGUUGGCAUAAUUAUUGUAUAUUGUAAGAUACAUAGGUGAGAAUCAUUAAGAUAAUGAAAUAGCAUGUGCAAUUACUGUUAUAAUUCGUGAAAAAGCAUUCUCAGAUAAAAAAAAGCUUACUGCAUACUCAUGGCACAAUCCAUCAGUUGACUGACUAAUGACCUUAAAUAACCAUGUGCUUAAACACUCUGUCACAAGCACCACAA
Sus scrofa (pig) is the source of this 945-nucleotide long non-coding RNA. RefSeq lists it as uncharacterized. Lineage: Eukaryota; Metazoa; Chordata; Mammalia; Artiodactyla; Suidae. The record is from RefSeq and is a predicted model, not a curated record.